Molecule: small nucleolar RNA, 158 nt
Rfam family: Small nucleolar RNA snR70
CAUCAUGAUGAUUGUUUUACCGACCGGGCGGACAGAAUAGUAUCGGUUUUGGGUGGUUGCUCGCUGUCUUCAAGUGUACAUUUUUUCUAGAGGAUGGUGGCAGCCCUUUGAAAAGCUCAAAAUCCGAGAAGUGGUGAGUGGUCGUGAGAUAGCUGAUU